UAUUCUUUAUUAUUAUUAUUAUUUUCACUAGUAGUAAUAAUAGUAAAUAAUAAUAUUAAUAAUAUAAAUAUGCGAUAUCUUAAAUAGUUAUAAUGCUAUGCUUAUUUAAUUCAACUUGUAUAUAUUUGAAUUGAAUAGUAUCUAAAGUGAGUAUUAUGGUAAGUGGUAAGUAAAUGUAUGGAAAUAUGUGAUACCUGCUAAAUGCUACAUGUUAAAUGUUAGAGUGUUAUUCUUGAUAGUAUAAUGUAUUAAUAUUGAAUUACUUUCCGUUUUAAAGAUAAGCUGUUAGUUUCUUUCAAUCAUUAUGUGUUUAGGUGCCGCAUGUCUGGGCGGAUUAUUUAUCAUUAUGUGUUAGGUGCCGCAUGUCGGGGCGGGUACUUUUCUUAUGUGAUUUACUGCAUGUCGAGGCAGAUUUUCUUUAUAUUAGUAUUUUUUUUUAGUUUAAAGAGCUUGAUUUGAUUGAUUUGAAAACAGGAAAAUAGUCCUAUUUACGAAUAGGUCAUGCCGAAUUUUCCGUAGAAAUAUUAAGUUACGCGUUCUCGUGUUUAAUAAUAUUCUGAGUUGGUUGUAAGUUAUAAAACUAUAAUGUGUGCUACUUGUUAUGUGCUAUAUAAUGUGCCGUGUAUAUAUAUAUCGCGAAAGGGUAGAAAUAGGAUAGUCGUUUCGGAAGGAUACUAAAGUAGUAUCUUUUUGCUUAUAAUAGGAUCGAGCAUUGAGGGCGUGAUACCAAGCAAAGGCAAGAAAAGGGGAGAGUUGUAUAGCGGUUCAGUAGUUACGAAUUGUUCGAGACGAAUAGAACCAGACGUUGGGGAUCAAGACUGAAGUUAGAUAAGAUUUCGUAUCAGGCUGCAGCAACCGCAUGAGCGCCAUAGCAGAGAAUCAGGAAUAGUUGAGGGUGAUGUCUUGAGAAAGCAGAAUAAGAUAAGGAUGUUAGCUAAGAGUGUAUAAGCUAAGGACCAAAGCUAAGGCUAGAGAUGGAUUAUCUGAUUAGACUGCGCGUGUGAGUGAUGCUAAGAGGCAAGGAUUCUAAGUGGUUAAGUACAUCAGAGAUCAGGUUGGUUGUUUUCUGAUUUCAAUACUGUAACCUGGAUGCGAUCCUGUUUUUAGGGGGUUAAAGUGUUUCCUUUUAAACCUUUUAUUAAUGCUUUCAGGUUUUAAAUUAUUUGGUUUUCAUAAAUACAGUUUUUCAAAAGUGUUUUAAAAGGUUCAAAAUUGUCUUUC
This is a long non-coding RNA of Daucus carota subsp. sativus, 1221 nucleotides long. RefSeq lists it as uncharacterized. The record is from RefSeq and is a predicted model, not a curated record. Lineage: Eukaryota; Viridiplantae; Streptophyta; Magnoliopsida; Apiales; Apiaceae. The transcript has 3 exons.